GCGAUACUAGUGUGAAUUGCAGCCAUCGUGAAUCAUCGAGUUCUUGAACGCACAUUGCGCCCUCCGGCAUUCCGGGGGGCAUGCCUGUUUGAGCGUCGUUU
Molecule: ribosomal RNA, 101 nt
Filed under: Pichia norvegensis
Lineage: Eukaryota; Fungi; Ascomycota; Pichiomycetes; Pichiales; Pichiaceae
Description: partial 5.8S ribosomal RNA
Rfam family: 5.8S ribosomal RNA
About the family: 5.8S ribosomal RNA (5.8S rRNA) is a component of the large subunit of the eukaryotic ribosome. It is transcribed by RNA polymerase I as part of the 45S precursor that also contains 18S and 28S rRNA.
Source: RNAcentral